This 492-nucleotide ribosomal RNA is filed under the name uncultured bacterium. Its description in RNAcentral is "partial 16S ribosomal RNA". It matches the Rfam family "Bacterial small subunit ribosomal RNA", at positions 29 to 507 of the family's 1533-position model. The record is from RNAcentral.
AGUGAACGCUGGCGGUAGGCCUAACACAUGCAAGUCGAACGGCAGCACAGCAAGAGCUUGCUCUUACGGGUGGCGAGUGGCGGACGGGUGAGGAAUACAUCGGAAUCUACUUUUUCGUGGGGGAUAACGUAGGGAAACUUACGCUAAUACCGCAUACGACCUACGGGUGAAAGCAGGGGAUCUUCGGACCUUGCGCGAUUGAAUGAGCCGAUGUCGGAUUAGCUAGUUGGCGGGGUAAAGGCCCACCAAGGCGACGAUCCGUAGCUGGUCUGAGAGGAUGAUCAGCCACACUGGAACUGAGACACGGUCCAGGCUCCUACGGGAGGCAGCAGUGGGGAAUAUUGGACAAUGGGCGCAAGCCUGAUCCAGCCAUACCGCGUGGGUGAAGGAGGCCUUCGGGUUGUAAAGCCCUUUUGUUGGGAAAGAAAAGCAGCAGGUUAAUACCCCGCUGUUCUGACGGUACCCAAAGAAUAAGCACCGGCUAACUUCGUG